This 460-nucleotide ribosomal RNA is filed under the name uncultured bacterium. RNAcentral's name for it is "partial 16S ribosomal RNA". It matches the Rfam family "Bacterial small subunit ribosomal RNA", at positions 338 to 795 of the family's 1533-position model. The record is from RNAcentral.
CCUACGGGGGGCAGCAGUGAGGAAUAUUGGUCAAUGGACGAGAGUCUGAACCAGCCAAGUAGCGUGAAGGAUGACUGCCCUAUGGGUUGUAAACUUCUUUUAUAAAGGAAUAAAACGCGGCACGUGUGCCUUUUUGAAUGUACUUUAUGAAUAAGGAUCGGCUAACUCCGUGCCAGCAGCCGCGGUAAUACGGAGGAUCCGAGCGUUAUCCGGAUUUAUUGGGUUUAAAGGGAGCGUAGAUGGGUUGUUAAGUCAGCUGUGAAAGUUUGCGGCUCAACCGUAAAAUUGCAAUUGAUACUGGCAGUCUUGAGUACAGUGGAGGUAGGCGGAAUUCGUGGUGUAGCGGUGAAAUGCUUAGAUAUCACGAAGAACCCCGAUUGCGAAGGCAGCUUACUAAACUGUUACUGACAUUGAUGCUCGAAAGUGUGGGUAUCAAACAGGAUUAGAUACCCGGGUAGUC